AAUAAGUACACGAACACUAAGUGACAUUACUAUAUUCCCAUUAAACAAAGGUUAUAACUUAUUACAAAUAUAUAUAUAGAUAUAUAUAUAAGCGUUUGUUUUAAACUUACCAAGAAUAAAGAUUGUGAAGUUGUCGUACGGUAUAAGUUUUUCGAGUGAAAAAAGAAUUAUAAUCCAUACAAAAUGUGACUGAGCAUGAGUGAACUAAUCCAUCAACGGAGAUUCUUACUACUGGUUGACUGUCUUGCUGAAAAAUUAAGCACUGCAUAUGAAGAGUUUGCAUCUUUAGAAGUUGACAAAUUCCAUUCAAAAGAAAGAGAGGUGCAGUUAUACCGAGGUUCUUUACUAAUAGAACUUAAUCCUCAAGAACAUCUAAAAAACUGCUGUUCUCAGAACUUGUAUUGCCUGCGAUCAGUUGAUGAUGACAUGAUCACUGUGACUUGCCUUUCUCCUGAGAUUGAAGAACUCACAUCCUUUGAAUCUGACAUUUUACUUCCAAUUAAUCCAGUCCAGGAAAGAACUAAAGUUUACUUCAACAAACAAUGGCUUGGAGAGGCCUCUAUUAUUUCUGUAGGUUCACUUGUCACUGUUAAUUUUAGUGAAGGAAAGGAGCCAGCAGUGGGGAUUGUUAGAUAUAAAGGCAUUGUAACUGAAAUUGGACAGGGAAUAAUGUUUGGUGUGGAGCUUUUGACACAUCAGGAUUGUGGAUAUUCUGAUGGAUCAGUGAAAGGUACAAGAUACUUUGACUGUCCACAUGAUAUUGCUGUUUUUGUUGCUAUCAAUUGUCUCAAACUAAUGUCACAUCAACAGGCUCAAAAGUACAGGCCUGCCACCAGGCAGAAGAAUUAUUCUCUCUUAUCUAUCAGUUCUACAGAGAGCCAAAAACUCUUGAGUAGGUCUGGAUCCAGACCCCUUCCUCUGGAGUCUGCCUGUAUUGAUGACACUUUGGCUCCUGAACUGAAGCUAGGAAUUCGUGUUGUGUGGAUGAGUGAUGAUGGACCAGAAUAUGGUUGUGUGAGGUGGUUAGGAAAACUCCCUGAUACAGGAAGUGACUGGAUGGCAGGGAUAGAGUUUGACAAUCCAGUUGGUACUGGAACUGGAAGAUAUAACAAUCGUCAGCUGUUUGUAACUAAGCUUAACCAUGCUUCAUUAGUGCCAGUCAUAGGACUUAUAAAAGCAGAGGAUUUUGAGGAAAACAGAACAGGUCCAACAAGUGAAGGCUUAUUAUAUACUCUAAGACCAUCACGUUCUCAAUCAGAUGAUAGCGUAGUGGCAACAACUAGAUAUUCUUCACAGUCAUCCAGUUAUGGCUUUCAUGCUACAAUGAUGUCAUCAUCAGAAAAACCUAAUGCACGUGUUUACUCUCCUGUUGAAAAGCCCAGAAAAAAAAGUGUCCCCCUAGCAGAUGAAAAGAACAAGCCCUUUGAUUCAUUGUUAAAGAUAAAAAACUUAGCCUGCCAAGUGAAAGACUCCACUGCUAAAAUUCACAAUAAAGAACAAACUAACAUUCCUUCUAGUGCUUUAGUUUCAAGUGGGAAGUCUGGUAAUAAAAUUAAACAUAAAACCAAGCUUGAGGAAAAUAAAGAUUUUUUACUGCCACCUAGAAGUUGUGAGCCACCAAAAAUCCCUGAGACAAAUACAUAUCGGGUCAUUUCUGUGUCACAACCAGUUGUAUUUGAGACUCCAUUCUCACAGCAGCAAGUUUGUUCACCGUAUAAACUGCCUCAAGAAAUGUUAGGGAUACCAUGUCAAGGGCAAAGGAUAGGAACUUCUAGAGAAAGCUAUAAUAUUUUGACAAAUACAUCUGGUAGGAAGAAGCAACUAACAGGAUUAAGAAAACAGUCAGUAGUAGAUAACCUGGAAGUUGGUUCUGUUGUGGAGGUACUUGUUGAUGGGUUUUCUCACUAUGGUGUCAUCCGAUGGAUUGGUCAGCUACCAGAAGACAUGAAUGUGACUGCUGGUGUUGAGAUGGAAGAAGAAAUCCAUAUUGGUACUGAUGGUAUGUGUAAUGGACAUCGAUACUUUCAUUGCCCACCACGAAAAGCUGUAUUUGUUCGACUCAGUCAAUGUAAAAGAGACAGCCGAUUUCUGGAUAUGGACAAAAGAAAAAGUGCAGUUUUUGGAAGUAUUGACUCUCCUUCUGUGAUGGGUGAUAUUCCUCCUCUUUCAAACCUUGAUGAGCUUCAGAUGAUGUGUGGAAAGUUUAAAGGAAUCCAAGGGCACCACAAUUCAUGUUACUUAGAUGCCACUCUCUUUGCCAUGUUUGCUUUUACCAGUGUCUUUGAUUCCUUGCUUCAUCGACCUGCAAGAUUCAAUGAUAUUGUUGAAUAUUCUCAUGUUCAAAGGGUUCUGAAAGAAUCAAUUGUUAAUCCAUUACGAAAGAAUAUGUAUGUUAGAGCAGACAGAGUAAUGCAGCUCAGAACUUUACUUGAUGAACUGGGGUCAAUUAGGGGACUGACAAGUGAAGAGAAAGAUCCUGAAGAGUUUUUGAACUCACUUCUCAACCAGAUAUUAAAAGCAGAGCCCUUCCUCAAACUCAGUUCAGGUCAAGACACAUACUUGUACCAGCUGUUUGUGGAGAAGGAUGAUAGAUUGAAACUACCAACUGUCCAGCAAUUAUUUGACCAAUCAUUCCUGGCAUCUGACAUCAAGCUACAAGAGGUUCCUCCAAGUUUGUUGAUACAAAUGCCAAGAUUUGGGAAGCAGUUCAAGAUGUACCCACGGAUUAUCCCCAGUCAGUAUCUUAACAUCUCUGAUGUGCUAGCAGAUUCUCCUCGACAGUGUAUCAUUUGUGGCCAAGUUGCUGAAUAUGAAUGUAAAGAAUGUUUUGGUCAGUUUGGAGAUGGACUUGAGAGUACUGCAUUUUGUCAGAGGUGUUUAGACAAACACUGAAAUGAAACUCAGCUAAUCUCAAGAUGAAGGAAUUACUUUAAAAUGUGUUAUCUUUGACAUCCCCAACAAUGAAAAGAGACAUGGCCAAUUUUAAGAUGGAGGAAUGACUUUCAGUGAUAUAAAAAAAUGAAAUGAGACUCCAACAGUAUUAUUACAGCUCAUUGAUAAAGGUUGAUGCUAAAAUUAGUCAUGGCCACCAGAAAAGAGCUCACCAUACAACAAACCAACUGUGUGUACCUCAAGAAUUCAGAAUGAUCAAGGAUCACACCCCC
This 3164-nucleotide unclassified non-coding RNA is filed under the name Limulus polyphemus (Atlantic horseshoe crab). RNAcentral describes it as "ubiquitin carboxyl-terminal hydrolase CYLD-like, transcript variant X3". Lineage: Eukaryota; Metazoa; Arthropoda; Merostomata; Xiphosura; Limulidae. The record is from RNAcentral.